GCUUCCUAUAGUAGAAGAACUCUACCUGAUUUUGGUUAGACUUAGACUUAGACUUCUUGGUCUGACUCCCAGCAUUUGGCACCUUUUUAUUCUUUUUCUUCUUCCCUUUCUUAAAAGGAUGAUGUCCACUCGAAGAAGAUCCUCCUAAUAUAUUCACCAUUUCCUUGUGGAGCUAGUGAUCCUUCUCAAAAGUUUGCAGCAACCCCAACAGAUUGUAGUAGUUCACUAUGUUGGGUUCUGGUGGCGCAGCGGAAGGGUUAGG
This 262-nucleotide long non-coding RNA is filed under the name Elaeis guineensis (African oil palm). RNAcentral describes it as "long non-coding RNA (EGUI_LNC065789)". The record is from RNAcentral. Lineage: Eukaryota; Viridiplantae; Streptophyta; Magnoliopsida; Arecales; Arecaceae.